UCAGGGUAGUGAGAGCAACGGAGGCACCGAGGAGAGCCACAAUGGAUAAACUAACGGGCCACGGGAGGACCGCGUUGAUUUAUAAUCCGUAGAGAGAUACCAUCUCGUAUGCCAUCCACGAGAGACAAGUGAAAUAACGGUUAAGGGAUCUCACAACCUCGGAAAUAAACCACCAAUUCGACAUGGAUCGGUUUGAGCAUCGACAGCGCCUUUUAGAAACCGGCUGCCUCCGCCUGCUUCGAAGGCGGAUUUGGGAUGAGAAGCGUUUAUCGUUUUCUGUACUGUCAGGUAAAUAAUAGGUGGAACCCAUACGAUACUCUGACAGUAUGUACGAGAAGGAGUCGGUUGCUAUCUUUGGUUAUCUAGCUGUAUGAGUGUUACUCGGCCGUCAUAAAGCUAGCUAACCGAAWGUAGGAAUGUCCUCCAAACCUGCGACUCGGACAGGAAUAAAUGGUGUCUGGGAGUAAAGACACAAAAUAACAUAAUUGUUAUGCAAUUACAGGCCAAUACCUCAGUGCCUUUCCGGUUGAUCCAGUGCCCUUGUCACUGCAGUGGCUGCCUGAGAUACACACUGAAACUCUGCAGUGUGAACAGCACACGCUGUCUACUAUAUGUGACUGCCAGCCAUUCACACCAGGUCUGGAUUGAGCYAGGGYAAAGUGGCACAGUCGUCACAAAAAAACAGAAAGCAGGAGGGGAAGAAAAAGGCCAACCRCCUUGUCCCUCUUCCCUUAAAUCUCCAUCACCGGAAGCCUUUGGUGCCAUCUGUGCCCCCGGAGAAAAYGACGGGCGAGAUGCCUCCACCCUGUGCCAACGGGGACAAAGGAGCUGCCAGUUAGAGCGGCCCCCCUCGCAGGCAGCCAGAGGACUCUGUGUGACUGACUGGGGCUGAGCUACGGAAGCCAUCUUGAUGGAGAGUCUUGCUGCUGCUCCUAAAAUGGCUGUGUUGGCAUGAGGUCCUGCAGGUGUUGACAACCUCCAGGCGAAGCCUCUUCCAUCAGCCCUGAGCCCUGGGCCCUGAGCCCUGGGCCCUGAACCCUGAGCCCUGGGCCCUUCCUCAUUGGCAUCCUCUCCAGUCAAACACUAAGAAAUGAGGGCACUGAAGAAUCGCCCCUAAAGUUAACAGACAAUGCUUGUAGAAAUUUACUGUAAGGACAAUGUUUGGAGAUAUUUACUGUAAGGACAAUGUCUGGAGAUAUUUACUGUAAGGACAAUGUUUGGAGAUAUUUACUGUAAGGACAAUGUUUGGAGAUAUUUGAAGACUUUGUUUGCAGAAGUUGCGCACAGAUUAUCUGCUGAUAUAUUGCACUUGGGUAAUCAAUGUUCUCUUCUCCCCGGCUGAGAGUGUAUAGUUUCAACAUAACUUUUAAUAUUACAGCAGAAUGUAAGACAAUGUGUGUAUGAUGUUAAAUAAAAGGGAUGUGAUCAACAUGUGUUCAUACCUUAAUGUAAAUAUGAUGAUGUGUGUGCGCGUGCGUGUGCGCGUGUGUGGUUUGUUCCCUAUUGUACUCUUUAGAGUACUCUGGAGUGUACUGGGCUUCAGAGAAGCACUACAGUGCCCUAAUGUGUGGGCUGCUUACAAGAGAAGCUCUCUGGAUGUCUAUCCUCUGUCAUGUGCAAUUAGUUACUUUAUGAAUAGAACUGACUACUCUAUGCAAAUAAAUGUGAAUGACUCACCCUCUGGCUGUAUUGCAAAUGUUUUUUAAUGUUUGACUGUCACAGUGAAAAGAAAGACAUUGUUUGGUGAAGAUUCCUUCCAUUUACUGUAUAUCCAUCAAAUGCUGCAUUUUUCCUAUUACAAAUAUUAUCUGCAUGUGUUCAUAGUGAUCAGGGAAUGUUCUACGUGAAAUGUGUUGGAUACAGUAUUGAAGCAGUCAGAUUAAUAGCUGUCUCAUUGCCUGAUUAUUAUUAUUAUCCUUAUUCAGAGAGAUAGACAGUUUUGAACGUACCUGCUAUAAAGAAAGGGACACAUACUUGUACACUAACGUCAUACAAAACAUGUUGUUGUAAUUGAGUUCUGACUUGUCAUGACUUCUGUGUUGUUUGAAUUGAAUGUGUAUACAGAAUAAAUAAUUCAACAGAUGUCUAAAAGA
Long non-coding RNA from Salvelinus sp. IW2-2015, 2093 nucleotides. RefSeq lists it as uncharacterized. NCBI's taxonomy places the organism in Eukaryota, Metazoa, Chordata, Actinopteri, Salmoniformes, Salmonidae. The record is from RefSeq and is a predicted model, not a curated record.